RNAcentral lists this long non-coding RNA (1475 nucleotides) under Brassica napus (rape). Its description in RNAcentral is "long non-coding RNA (BNAP_LNC024793)". Lineage: Eukaryota; Viridiplantae; Streptophyta; Magnoliopsida; Brassicales; Brassicaceae. The record is from RNAcentral.
AUCAGUGUAAUCUCCCAUGUACUCCUUCAGCUUAACCUUCACUCUCUCUUUCAACUUCACAACUCCUUCCUCACUGAAAUCACCAUUGAAGGUCCGAUCAUCAUCGUCGCUUCCCAUCGAGAUCGUAUCAAAAAAAAACCUAACUUUUCCGCCGCAAUGACACAACAGAGAAACAACAAAAUCAGUAUAAACCCUAAGACUCAAUUCGAGAACGGAGAGAUUUAAACAACCUCCGGUCCGUGGGGAUGUUUAGGGUUUGGUUCUCUGUCUGUCGGGGAAGAAUCCAAAGAGCGCACUCGCUCGAUUUUAUCAGAAAGGGAUUUUUCGCUUCGGCUUCCACAGACGGAACGAAUUAGACAGAGAGAAACUGAACAAAAAUAAAUAAAAUUAUAAGUCCUUUCGUAAAAUCUUUUAUAAACCCAAACACACAGGAGGUUUAUGCUCCUAAUGGGCUGGGUCGAAAUUUAUUGGGCCGAAUCAAUGUGGGUAGUAGUGUGCUAUGCUACGGUUGUAGUAGUAUUUUUAUGAUACGGUACUAAAAGCAUGUUUAUCGGUAAAACCCACGUAAGGGCUCUUAGUGAUUUUUUUAAUAUUUAAGUGAAGUUAAGUUAUUUUGUUAAGAGAUACUUAAUGUUAGUGGUUUAUUGCUAGUAUCUUAAUUAGGAAUUCUUAACAAUAAAAAAAUUAUUAAAUAUAAUUUUAUUCCAAUAGAGGUUUUCUUCUUCCUCGGUCAUGGAUUUUUCGAAGGACGCGUCCUGCCGAGCGGACUGGCUUCGCGUUCUUCUUGGGUGGAUGUCAGCACCGUCGUCCGAGUGAUCGGACUGGUCGCUUAUAUCCAGGUCGAUGCGCUCGAUUUCUUCUCCUUCGUUGCUCCCGGUAGGAGGUGGAAGGUUCUCCGCAGUUGGCUAUGCACCUGGCUCAGCUCGAUUGCCCGGAGUUUCGAAAUCAAGUCUUAUGCCGCUGCGGCCUCUUGUGGUUCCGCGCGGGGCUUUUCUCCUGGUCUUCGCCGUUAAGGUUUCCACCUGUUUUGCGAGAGAGGCCACGAGUUUUCCUUGUUCGUCCGUCUUUUUAUGAGCGCAGGCGAACAUUUCCUUCAUUUGGUCUAGUAUCGCGGUGUCGGCAGUGACCGUUGAUACGUUUCCAGCUGGAGUUUUAUCAGCGUUGGCAUAGACAAGAGUCCCGUCGUGCGUUUGCGGGUCUUUGUCAGCGUUGGUCUUCAUAUCGGACUGAGCGUGUGUGGUUGCGAGAGAGAUAGAUCCGUACCCUUCCCUCCUUCUAGCGCCAAACUGUGGGAACCGAAAUUCACACCGUCGAGUUUUUUUAAUCGGAGGAAAGCCAAGUUACUGAAAUCACCAUUGAAGGUCCGAUCAUCAUCGUCGCUUCCCAUCGAGAUCGUAUCAAAAAAAAACCUAACUUUUCCGCCGCAAUGACACAACAGAGAAACAACAAAAUCAGUAUAAACCCUAAGACUCAAU